UAAGUUAUGGACUUGGAAGAAAAUAGA
This 27-nucleotide non-coding RNA is filed under the name Cricetulus griseus (Chinese hamster). The record is from RNAcentral. Lineage: Eukaryota; Metazoa; Chordata; Mammalia; Rodentia; Cricetidae.